AUCCGGCUGACAAGUUCCAAAUAGGAUGAAACGUGCGUCCUGGAC
Molecule: non-coding RNA, 45 nt
Filed under: Schistosoma mansoni
Lineage: Eukaryota; Metazoa; Platyhelminthes; Trematoda; Strigeidida; Schistosomatidae
Source: RNAcentral